Long non-coding RNA from Hordeum vulgare subsp. vulgare (domesticated barley), 1060 nucleotides. RefSeq lists it as uncharacterized. NCBI's taxonomy places the organism in Eukaryota, Viridiplantae, Streptophyta, Magnoliopsida, Poales, Poaceae. The record is from RefSeq and is a predicted model, not a curated record. The transcript is spliced from 3 exons.
ACACUGACUCGCCGCCGCCGCCCGCCGUCAUGGACGCAGACCACUGGCCCGCGCUUGCCGACGCCGCCAAGACCAAGACCCUGCUCUCGACCUUCUUUGUUUGGGAUGUUGCACGACGAUAGGUGAGAGUACCAUCGCUGCUUGUCCCCAGAGAUGGUAGGUGAGAGUACCAUCGCUGCUUGAAGGUGCCCUAUUUUUUGCUUGGUGAUGUUCGCUCGGUUGCUUGGUGUUGUUCGCUCCUGCUCCUGCUGUCCUCCAGUCCUUCAAUCCAUCAAUUUUGACAGCACCGUCACCCCUGAGAUGUGCUACCAGCUCAAAGUCUGCAUUCGUUUUAGUUCCAGAUGGUGUGAUGCACACCUACAUCUCAAGUGAUUAAGUGAUUCGGUAUAUCUUUUAUGUUAUUCAAUUUAGAUUUCGCCCCAACUUUAAUUGCUUUGGGCAUAUCCAAACUAGUACAAGUUUAAUACCCAGGUUUUAAUUUAAAUUUCACAGGCUAAAAACAAUGUUAGUGCUUGCUGUUUAAAGCAACAACUCAUGCCUCAUGGGCAGUUGCGGCAUGGAGGGACACCCAAGCUCCAUAAUUCGGUCGCAUGGAGUUGGUCCGUUUUUCAUGCUUGCCGGCCACCCAAGCUCCAUCCACUCGGUGCCAUAGCCGGUCUGCUGCCAUCUUCUUAUAUUGGUGAAGUUACAGUUGCUCAUACUACCAGGUACAGUUAAUGUCAAGUAAGGUGGGUGAGAAAAAAGUCGGUGCAGGACAAUUGAAUUGGAGGUGUGAUCGCUGCAUUGGGAUCAAUGAUUACUUAAGAGACAAAGGUUUGAUUUAGUUGCGGCAAUGGCAAGAGCAUAUUGUGCUGAAGAUGAUGAACCUUAAUGCGUUGAACCUUGUAUACUAGAACCUUGCAGGUGUUUUUGCAGAAGUAUUUUGUUAUGCACAUGUAAAAUUAUUUUGAUGUGCCCUUGUUAGGCGUUCAACCUUAAUGCGUGGAGUCGGUGGAUGAUGUAUUGUAUUUGAUGUGAUAUGCUACUGAAAUGAACUAUACAUUUUAUUUACAAUCUUUUA